UAUAUUCUGUAAUUGUUAAUAUUAUAAGGAAGAAAUUUAAUAUUUUCUUUAUUUUCUUAGGUAAAAACUUGAAAGAGGUUACGAAGAAAAGGAGUUCUUCAGGCAAAAUUUCAUUAUGAAGAAAACUCAGAAAUAUUCACGUGACCAGACAGCCAUUUGGACAGGCGUGAACCCGCGACCAAGUAGAAGUUGUUCUAAAGAUUAUUGAAGAAGUGGUUCUUUUUUUUACACGCAGAGAUGGCUUCCUUCUUUGAUGCAACGAGCAAUACCCAGACCAACGCCCUGAGUAAUGGUUUCUUUGAGAUAUUUGAAGUCAAAGAAAAUUCCUCACAGAAAUAGAAAAGUGUUGACUUGCUGAACCACAUUUUAUGUCAUUCCAACAAAUGGAUAUAAUCUAAUAAUCUAAAAUUAUUCUAGAAAUUUCAAAUUUUAUCUUGUGAAAAAUGCCUUUGGAUCCAGACUUUUUGAACACAUAAAUAUUUAAAUACAGUAGAGCGUCGAUUAUCCGAAUCAAUUGGGAACUGGAAUUGUUCGGAAGAUCGAUGUUUCGGAUAACCGAUUGUGCACGAAAAAUAUAUUAAU
Centruroides sculpturatus (bark scorpion) is the source of this 582-nucleotide long non-coding RNA. RefSeq lists it as uncharacterized. Lineage: Eukaryota; Metazoa; Arthropoda; Arachnida; Scorpiones; Buthidae. The record is from RefSeq and is a predicted model, not a curated record. The transcript has 3 exons.